Molecule: long non-coding RNA, 614 nt
Filed under: Olea europaea subsp. europaea
Lineage: Eukaryota; Viridiplantae; Streptophyta; Magnoliopsida; Lamiales; Oleaceae
Source: RNAcentral
CUUCUUCCUUGAUUGGUUUAUCAAAAAUUGAUUCUUCUCCUCUCUGAUAUUCUUUACCGAAUUUGUUUGGUAUAUCCAGUUUAUUUGGAAUUUGGUGAUCAUGUGAAAUUUGAUGAUUUGGUCUCUCUCUCUCUCUCUUCUGCUUCAUCUUCUUCUCUGCAUUUGGUUUGAUAUAUCCUUAGUUCAUGGGAUUGGACAUUUGGUUUGGUAUUGGUCCAGUUAUCUGAAAUUUGAUUUGUUAUUUGGUCCAGUGUAUCUGGAAUUUGGAAUUUCGAAUGUUUGGAUUUUGGAAUUGGUAUGUCAUGUCAAUUGGAAUUUGAAAUUUGCAUUCAGUUCAAUUGGCAUUUCUCCUCUCCCGGUUUCUUUUCUGGCGUUGUCUUCUUCUUGCAUCUGGCUAUCUUCUUCUACUGCAUCUAUGCUGCUCUUCUUGUUGUGGUUCUUCUAUUGAAGGCUUUCCCUUCAUCUACAUCAAUUUGGAAGAUUCGACUUGAUCGAUUUAUUUUUCAAACUCAAUAUGAUUGUCAUUAGACCAUAUUGAGUUUGAGGGAGGGUGUUAAAGAUAUGGAAAAUAUUGUUGAGAAUAAUAUCUAUUAUAUUUUUCCUUUUAGUGUAGG